Molecule: ribosomal RNA, 260 nt
Filed under: uncultured bacterium
Lineage: Bacteria
Description: partial 16S ribosomal RNA
Rfam family: Bacterial small subunit ribosomal RNA
Source: RNAcentral
UACGAAGGGGGGCUAGCGUUGUUCGGAAUUACUGGGCGUAAAAGGGCUCGUAGGCGGUUUUGUCGCGUCGGGAGUGAAAAACACUGGGCUUAACUCAGUGCUUGCUUCCGAUACGGGCAGACUAGAGGUAUGCAGGGGGAGAACGGAAUUCCUGGUGUAGCGGUGAAAAUGCGCAGAUAUCAGGAGGAACACCGGUGGCGAAGGCGGUUCUCUGGGCAUUACCUGACGCUGAGGAGCGAAAGUGUGGGGGAGCGAACAGG